Long non-coding RNA from Nymphaea colorata (pocket water lily), 2882 nucleotides. RefSeq lists it as uncharacterized. The transcript is spliced from 7 exons. The record is from RefSeq and is a predicted model, not a curated record. NCBI's taxonomy places the organism in Eukaryota, Viridiplantae, Streptophyta, Magnoliopsida, Nymphaeales, Nymphaeaceae.
UAUGGCUGGUAGAAAGUAGAUCCGAUUGAAUGUUGGGCCUAUAUCACUUGAUCAGAUUGAACUUUCAGCGAGUUUGUAAAACAACAUGUUUUGAUUGAGGAGUUCUUUUGAUCGAGGAGAACUUCAACUACUGCUAGAGACAUUUGAUUGCAGCAUCAAUAUCGUUAAACUCUGAGAUGGAUAAGUGCAUGCAUUCUUUUUUGCUUUUUCUUAGAAAUUUUUGCAAUGAGAGAAUGGUAACAACAGAUUGAUUGCCAAUUUGUAUUGUGUUCUUGUUGAAGUCCUAUUACCAUUUUCAUUGAAGCAACUUCCAUGUUGUGUUGCUUUAACAUCCCUUUAAUGUUUCUGCUGCAUGCACGUGAUAAGUUCUUGGUAUCCACUCUUUUGAUUUUGUCAGUGUUAAGCAUCUUAGCAUGAUGUUUCUGUUUAACUUGGAAUACGUGUAGGAUGCUGAGAAUGCCGCACCAGAAACUAAGCAAAGCAAUCAUGUAAUCAGAAAACAGCAAAAGCGUACUGAGGGUGAUAAACUUGAUCCUCAUGUUGAAGAACAGUUUAGUGGUGGAAGAUUUUUGGCUUGCAUCACAUCUCACCCUGGUCAAUGUGGGCAAGCUGAUGGGUUACUCUUCUGCAUUCAGCGCUGUGUACAAUCAUCGAUCCCCUUUUCAUUUAUCAGUGGCGCUUAGGCUACAGAUACGUACUCGAGAGCAAGGAGCGAGAAUUUUACAUGAAAAUGAUCUAGAGGAAGAAAGGCAACUGGUAUUUCUGCUUGAACAGCUGCUCUGUCCUAGAUUUUGCCCUCUCUACCAAGUUAGGUAUAUCGUGUUUUUGAGGUAGAAAAUUGAAAACAUUGAAGUUGUUGAUUUAACUGAAAGGAUUUUGUGAGAGAUUGAGGGCAUCUUUACUUUUGCUCUAUCAAGCAUCUUUAUAUUGGAUAAUUGUUUUCUUAGGUUUGUGCUUUGUUUUCAACUACACAUGAUGGAGUUUCAUGAUCCUUUAAUGAAUUCAUUAAAAACUUGUUCCAUGGUUAGUGAUCUAUCCCCAUGGCAAGGAUCGAUUUCAUGGUAUGAUCUUUGUUCUGUUGUGUCAUUUUUAUCUGGAUCACUCUGUUUCAGAAUAUCUAUCAUGGAGAUCACAUUCCCUUGGAUAGAAGCACUACUCCCACCUCAAAAUUUGAGACUUUGGCUAAAAGGAUAACUGAAGUGAAAGAAAUUUGCAUAUUAGCUCUGCCUCUGACACUCAUGUGAUCUUUCUAUUUUCAGUCCAACUGUUUUGCACUCUGAGCCAAUGGUUGCAGUAGGACACUGGCUUAGAUAGCCCUUGGGCUGCUUAUAAUGUUGCAGUCAUCUGAUAUUCAUGGGAUCUCUCUCGCUCUGUUACUGCUUGGACUCAUUUUAUAAUCAUGUGUUCUCUCUCACUCAGUUACUGCUUGAGCAGCGACCAUGACUGGCAUCCCCUAUCCUUUGUCACUUUCUUUAUGAUUGGAAAUUUGAGAUUUGUAUGGUGUUUCAUUGUCCAUCGGUAACACUGUCACAUGAAAAACAGCACCUAAUUGACAUAAUAUGACCUGUGCAUCUAGACAAUAUCUAUAAAUUUGAACCUUUUCUGCUGAGAGGAACAAGACUGCCUUCUCAGAAUAAAUUCUAGUAAAAAUAAGAUCAGUAGCUCAUGGUUUUACUUGAUUCAGCUUGUCAAAGACUCAACUUUAAUUUGUUCGUUGAGAAAACUUCCAUAACAUGAGAUGGUUGUGUAUAAACGAUCAAGAUUGUGCCUUCACAUUACAUGGGCUAAGUUCCAAGCAGUAUAAUCUGUAUCAGCUUGUGAAUUUUAAGACUGUAUUCUUUACUUGUACAUUUGCCUAUAAUACAGAUGCGUUAUGUUCUUUGUGAAGCUGCAGUCUGCAUCUCUUUUCCUUACUGCAAUAAUAAGUGGUAGUAAACAUGAUCAGGUUUGUUUUCAAACUUGGAAGUUCACUUCAAAUAAUAAGGUUGUCACACGAUUUGGAAAUUCAACGUGUUGACUUUUUUUUUUCAAAUUUAUGAAAUUGUGUGAGUAUCUAAACUUUACAUUGCAGGAAGCCAUAGAAUGGACAUAAUGAUACCAAAUGGGCAUAAUGGUACCCACAGUUGCUACUUGCGAAGCUGGUGCUUGCAUCGAUCAUAUGCAUAUGAUUGAAUUGAGAAAGAGGAUCACUCAUCAAGACAUUAUUUUUUGCACAUGAUUUAAUUCCUUGAGAAUUGUGAGGAUUUAGAAACAUAUUGUGCUUCAGGACCUCUUUUCUCCCUAUUGACUUGAUUGAGAAGGGUAGAAGAAAGAGCGCAAGGAAGAAGAAGACGACGGAGGUGCUGGGCGGCGAAGAGAAGACGGAGGUGGUGCCGGUGGCGGUGGUGACGACGGCGACUGAGGCGGCGGCACUUGGGAACACCGGGCACGUCCCGUCGACCUUGAGCUACCGGAUUCGAGGCUUGAGGCAUUUUGAAGAGUUUGUGAGCGCGCCACAGGUACCAUGAUUACCACCACUAUGUUGGAGGACUGAGCCAAAGCAAUUUCGCUUCUAUUUUUACAUACUGUGACUACAUCUACGGAACUGAUAAGGGUUAUCGGUACCAUCGGUAUCAGAAAGCACAGCUAGGAAAGAUGAAAAAUAUCUCGUUUGGAUAAGUAAAUGGAAAAUCUAACAAAGCAGACCAGGACCCAAAAUCUCAGUAAUGAUACCUGGAGCGGAGGCUGUUCAAAUGUCUUGCUACCUGUUCUUGAAGUUUGGCCCAGUCGUCCGUCCUUUUUGUAUCUGUUUAAUGUUUUCAGCAUUGUAUGUCCUGUAGCGCAAAACUGUUGUUUCAAACUGUUCCAGUUUAAAUAUAUAGAUGGCUUCUCAGUUAUCAUUG